Rhododendron vialii is the source of this 8433-nucleotide long non-coding RNA. RefSeq lists it as uncharacterized. NCBI's taxonomy places the organism in Eukaryota, Viridiplantae, Streptophyta, Magnoliopsida, Ericales, Ericaceae. The record is from RefSeq and is a predicted model, not a curated record. The transcript is spliced from 7 exons.
CGGUUAGAUCAUUUUUGACAAUUUCCGUUUGACCGGAAAAAAAACAAAGGAUCAUUUAUGACGUUUGCCGCUCUCUCUCAAAAGCAUCCCGAUCAGCGGGUCUCUUGCUGUCCUUCAAAAAAUUCAAACGACUCUCUCUCUCUCUCUCUCUCUCUCUCACAAUUGAAGGGAAACAGAUCUGCUCUUGAUCAUCGAGAAUCAAGUCCUCUGGAACCCUAAACAAGCGCGCCCCACAGGAGCAGCGACCCGACGCUGGUGAGGGUGCGGCCGUAGACGAAGACGGGGUGUAGGAGUCAGGCGGCAAGGAGGAGACGAGCGUGAGGAGAGAGAACGGGUGGGAGAGGAUCGAGAAGGCGAGCACGGCGGAAGUAGGAGGCGUUCUUGCGGACGCGGUAGGAGGCGACGGCGAGGGUGUCGGGCCGGGAGGAAGGCGGUGUGGUCGGCGAGCACCGGCCAGGGGUGGCGCCGCGCGUUGGAGUCGGGGGAGCGUGAGGCGAACGUGCGCAAGGCCGGGGCCAGAAAACCCCUUUUUGUUUGGUCCCCUUGACCUUUCGGUGAGUUGAUUCAUCGUCUCACAUAUAUCGUCCCCUACAGACUCUUCCGAAUCGUUGUCGGAGCCAUCUGCCAUUAUCGUCUUCCACUCCAACCGGUGGCAGCUUCUCUUCAACCAUUCUAAAAAAAUCCUCAAGCAGGUAUGCAUGGCUAUGGCUCUUUAGACAUAUUCAAAGUUUGAUUAUAAAUAUUGCCAAAAAGGGAAAAGGCUUAGGGACUAAUAGUUGAGGAUGUUAAUGAAUUGAAUAGGAAAAAUCAGUUGUUGGGUGGAAGAACGAGGAAUGGGCUAGAGUGUUGUUAGCUCAUGAGGUACUACAUUUUUGUACGUGUGGUAAUUGACGCUUUAUUUUCUUAACUUUGCCUCUAAUUUUUUCUGUUCUUCCUAAUUUCCUGAUUUAACUAUGCUCGACAUUCCAAGUAGAUUACUUAGGACCUUCAACAACUUGCUGUUCAACUAAAUAAAAUAAAAAACUUGGACCUUCAACUACUUUAUUGUGUUGAUAAACAUCCAGUCCACAUUUCAUGGUUUUAGAGAGGUGAACCAUUUUGAUUUACUAUGUAGCGUAGUGUGAGACCUGUAUGCUACAGUUUUUGGUAGUUCAUACAUUUUUUUGGGAUAUUCUAUGGGAGUAACAAUCUAUCGAGUAACUCUUGGUUUUGGUUCCUAUUUGUUAGUUCUUUUGCCAUUUUGAUUUUCAUGGCAUGCCAUCUUUGGUUUGGAUGGCGCCUCGGGUAGAUAGUAACGACCACCACUUGCAUCAAAAUCGGAGAAAUUGUCUGGCCUCUGUAUCUACUCUACUUAUAAAAAUUUCAAAACGCGAAGACUAUUAAAGUGUUUCCCACACUUUACCUUCCAAAAUACCCCUUCUAAACACCUGGAAUAACUGACCCACCCAGAUGAAAUGGAAGUCUUAACUGUUUUCUCACACCGAUUUCAAAAGACCCAAAUCAGAAAGGAAACAUUAACGACGCUCCACUCUUGCGCCCCCAAAUCAGAGCGUCCUCUCUGUACCCCAAAAAAUCCUUGUCCACCAACAAUACCGAAGAUUCAGUACUCACAACGGCAUAAAAUGUUAUAUUUUAUCAACAUCACAAACAACGGCCACGACAACAGAUUUGUGGCUCCACAGUACCCACUAAAUCCAUGAGUACCGUUCUUCGUUUGCUGCUGUCCACUGCCCAGAAUCCCAUCCUGCUGAAGUUCUCUCGAUUUCAAACGGUAAGCUUUCCUUAAACUUGGUAAUCUAAUGGUGAGUUUGAAUCAUAACUGAGUUGUUCAUGCUUAACAGUUAUUGCACUUAAGAUGCUAGAUGAAUUGUUUUUGAUCCCCAUUGAGAAAGUUUCACAGAUUGCAUUUUCCUUGUCUGCUUUGAUGGUAAUCGAUAGAUCAACAUUCAUGAUCACACUCCAAAGAUAAAUCAAUGAAAGUGAAAGAUGACCAAAAGGAAGAUGCUAUGGGUCGUGAACUCCAAUUUGUUUCAGUAGACACAAAGUCAUGUACCUGGCUUUGUAAUUUCAUUAAAGAACCUAUAUGUUGUUAGCCUUCUGAGUUCACAACGUUAUUGAAUAAAGAAUUUGACAUGCUACAUAAGAUUUUAUUACAACACAUUAAUUUGUAGACGAAAACAAGAGAUUGCUCACUUCAUUUUCAUUUCUUCUUUGAAUGGCGACAUGUAAAAUUUACUAAAUCUCUCUAGCAUUUUUUGGCACACAGAAUCUGCAGUGUUUGUUCUGAUUGAUUGGAAAUCAAAAAAUCUUCUGUUGAAAAACUUUAAUUUUUUGGUCAAUAAACUCCAACUAGAACUAAUUAGCUAAAAUUUAGGGGUAUUGUGAGUUAGUGGGUAGUUUUACAAAGUUACGCUUAAAGUAGAAAAUCACAACAUACUAGGGUUAUAUCUCUCGAGAGAAUAUUGAAACGAGAACUUCUGAUUCUUUUGAGAGAGCCGCAUGCUGCAGCCUAUGGAGAUUUCCUUUGUGUUUCACUUGAGGCGAGGUAGGGAAAAUGGACAACUUGAUUGCUUGAACCCUCUAUGGUGGAGAUAUCCGUGAUGAUGGAGUACCGGUGGAGUUCUUUGAUAUGGACAGAAUGUCAAGGGCAACUCAAAUUCAAGUGGUUCAGUAAGAAGAUCCUACGAACACAGAGGACGAGAACGUUGAUGUUUCUUCUGGGGUAGUCAAGCAUAAGAAAACUUCUGGAUCAAAAAAAGAAAAGAAAGCAUAUGCUUCAAAAUCUGAAGAAAAAGGUACUGAACUGUGAUGUUGAGGCUAAUAUGUCCAUUUUUUGGGUAUCAUUCGCUAUAUAACGGUUGUGUUGUUUGUAAAUGUAGUUGAAUGAUUGAAUCUGUAGAACGUAGGAAAGCUAGAACAACUUUAAGUGAAACAGCUAAUGGAGGAAGAGGUACCUAACUAUUCUGCUUUAUGUUUCACGUAGGUAAGGUCGAAGAUCUUGGCGUACAGGUUGGGGGAGGAAACGUAUUGAUAUAUUCAUUUUUAAUCUCUUUCUUUGUUUUAGCUUUAGGUUUAAUGAUUUACUCUUUUAUGAUGCUCUUGGUUCUUAGAGUUGUCAUUAAUGUGAAUGUAGAAUGAGUUGUUCAUUUUAACAGUUGAAAAGGAUUUGGUUGCAAAAUUGCAAUCUAAGUGGAUUGCUAGCUUAUUGCUGAAUGAUUAAAGGACGCGUUUUUCUUAGUUUUCUGAAUCUCAUAUGAUGUGUUUGCGUUGUUGUAAAGGGUUGCUAGGAUAGUAAGAUUGGGUGAACGUAGGAAAGCCACAACAGUAUCAUCUUGGUAUUGUUGGUUCUAGGGUAUCUCUUUCGAUCUUCUCAGGAGGCGGGACCAUUGUUUUCUUGCUGUUCAUAUCUCAGGCGGCAGGACCAUUUUUUUACUGUGUUGGUGUUUGUCUUUAUUUCUAGCCCAUUUGUAAUUCUGGAUUAGUUGCAAACUCGCUAUUACGUCGCACCGUGCCUUCAAGCACGGGCAAUUCCUAGUGUUUUUUCAUGAGAAUUCAGGUUAAAUGAAGAACAUGGUUAUUAGUAGAGAAGAGUAGUCAUUUAUGUACACAAUUUGAAUAAAUGGACCAUGUUUGAAGUUUAUUUGAGAAAAUGAUUUUUGAGUUGUCGGUGGGGUGUUCAAUUGAAGAAAAAAGGCAAUCCAAUUUAGUUGUUUCCAAAACGUGUUGCGCCGUGCCUUUAGGCACGGACAAUUCCUAGUCUAUAUAACAAGAGAGGUUUUUUUUUUUUUUCAAAUUGUGUAGACACAAACUGACAUGGCUCAAAAAUCCAUUUUGGAGGCAACCUGGCAGGUAUGAGUUUAUUUUUCUCUGUUUUUAGAGGUUUUUUUCUCAUCCAAUACAUAGAUCCCCUUUUGUACUAGUUACUUUGAUUUUAUUUUCAGUUAAGGUGGUCUGUUGUGAGUUCUUAUUCGAAUCAUGAAGUCCACUGGAGCUGCCACCGGGAGCUUUCAAAUUGACUCACAGAAGUUAUUUUUUUCACUAUUGUUGUUGUUGGAUGCUCUACCUUCUUGAUAAAAUACGUUCUUGAUAAAAAUGGCCAUGGUUUGAGGGUUGACUAAAAAGGAAAUUAGAGUUCUGGGGAAGUGUAGUAUCGUGUUGUGAUGAUAUGAUAAGGUUAUUUUUUGAUGUGCUUUUGUACUACAUGUAGUAGUCUAAUGUGACAAAGAAUUCUUUUUUGGGCUUUAAAUUGAUGGUGUAAAUGGGGAAUGGAGUAGAAAAUCAGUAGAUUAGGUAUGACUUGGAAGAAGAAGCUUUGUUGUUAGAAUGAAUUUUUUCGCCAUGAAUACUGCAUUGGUUUCUCCAAUUUUUGUGUGGAAAGUGAUAAGUAAUUUAUUCUACAAGUAAUUGUUACCUAUCACAAUUUAAGAAAGGGAUCAUAUUGUUGAUUUAUGGAUCUGGCCUUCUUCGUUUUUCUUUAAACAAAUUGGUCAAGGGAGUGCUUUUGUUUUGGAUCUCUCUUGCAUUAGGUGGUGAUUAGUUUGAUUGUGGAAAUCCAGAUUUGGGGUUCUUUUUGUUAUGGAAUGCAAUGAGGUGGCGGCAACAUUGACAUGGUGUACUAAUCGGCCACGAGUAGGUGAGAUUGUGGUUGAUCCAUUAUGGGGUUUCACUGAUGAGUUACUUAUCUUGGUUUUCUUCAAUAUUUUAAGCAAUUACCUCCAUUUAGCCUUGUGGGAUUCUAACUGUAUCUUUCAUUUUUUCUAGGUACGAGUACGACUAAGGUAUCAAUCAUUCUCUGUUCUGAGGUGUUUUAGCACAUAUAAACUGUUUGAGUUGGUGUUUUAAUUUUCCUUCUUUCACGUAAAAUUGUUUGCGACAAGGCAUAGACAUUUUAUUAGCAUUGGGGAAGAUAGUUUUUUUUUCCCCUCCGAGGAUACUCGAUUAGUAAAUGGUAUAAACUAGAGUAUUGUCCUAGGAGUAAUGAAGUUGAAAUUGCAUUACCUUUUAGCAUUUUGCCAAAACAGAGAGGAAAGAGAACACAGCUAAUUGUCCAAUGCUUUGUUUUAUGGGUUUUAUGGGUAAUUUGUUUGCCAUACAGGACCAAAGACUAGGAGAAAGUUAUGCCCUUUUGUGCUUCUCAAACUGUACUCAUUUUUUUGAAGCCAAAGAAGUAUUACUAUUAUUAUUACUCUACUACAGAUAAUGAACUCCGAAUUACAUUUUUUUUUUCCGGUACUCUGAAUUGCAUUACCCUUAUCUUUUUGUUGAUACUAUGAACUGGUAUGCAUGGCUUUGGCUCUUCCGACAUAUUCAAAGUUCGAUUAUAAAUAUUGCCAAAAAGGGAAAAGGCUUAGGGAGUAAUAAAUUUAAUUUUUUUUAUUCUUUUGAAACCAGCCUUAAAAUUGCUUUAGGUAGGAUAUUUACCUAAUUUGGUACCAUUUUGUGAUUCGCUAGUCAUUCCCAUUUAAUUAAAACUUAUUAUUUUCAGAUUGCUAAUUUGCUUUUUUGCCUUCCAUUGUGACACUCUUGGAGAUUGCUCUAUCACUACGGGAACACGCGACACGUAGAUCAGAUCAGAUUGCUAUUUCCCCCUUUUGCUAAUUUUUUUGAUCUGCACUGAGGCUACAUCUGGGUGAAUAAUGCAAAACAUACUAGAUUAGACUGGCGAUUGGAAUGAGAAAAUGACAAAUUUCAUUUGUUGUUUGUAAAGGAGACACGGAACACUCAAGUUGUAAGAAAGUCCAAAUGACGAAUCACAGGACUAAAUGGCAAUGGCUGAUGCGGCGAUGCCUCUAUCCUUUCUUUUGUGCAUCAUGAACAGGUUUGUAGUUCACAGUUCCUUAGCUCAUCCCUGAGUAUCACUUCUGGUAAUAAACUUUACUGCUAUAUGCUUAAACAAUGCAAUUGUUCUUAUUUGCUCCUUAGUAAGAGGGAAUGGGUUGCCUUCAUUGAGGAGCUUUAUGUUCUAAGAUUGAGCUUGACGGUACAGUUUCUUUAACCAUUGAAUGUGAUGAUUAUACUGGUAAUUCCUCAUGCCGUCGGUGGUACAGUUACUCCCUCCAUCCCAUAAUAUUUGUCCGGUCCGCAAAACGAAGGCGUGAAAAUAAUAUAAUUUUUGUAAGAAAAAAUCAAAUUUUUUUUCAACAAUGUACUAGAUAACGAUGAGUUAUGAAAAAAUUUUGAAUUUUUUCUUGAAAGAAGUGCAUUAUUUUUGAGUUUUCGUUUUGCGGAUCAGACAAAUAUUUUGGGAUGGAAGUAGUAAUUGUCAAUAUUACUAGAUUUGUUUUAUUGUUUUAGUAGCAACUCUGAGCACUUUUGAAGCUAUAUAUUUUUUCGACGAACUUAAUACUCUUGGCACUUUCCAUGUUUAUGUUUAUAGAAGCCAUUGGUUUGAGUACUUCUAACUUGCUGUAAAGAUAGUUAGCACCACGGCAGUACAACCGGGGUGCAAAAAGCCUUAUAUCCUGUGCAUGAAAAAACAAUUCAAAAUCCUCAACGAAAUCUAGAUAGUGUGUAAAUUUCAAAAUUGUAUGCAAGCCACUGAGUUUAUACAUCGUAUGCAAGCAUCAUCCAGGAAAGUGCAUGGAACACAGUGUGUUCAUUGUAGGUUCCACAAUUUCUAACUUUUUUGUUUUAUUCAAUCAUCUAUAUAACAAGGGAGGUUUUUUUUUUUUUCAAAUUGUGUUGACACAAACUAACGUGGCUCAAAAAUUCAUUUUGGUAGCAACUUGGCAGGUGGUGAUUAGUUUGUCUGUGGAAAUCCAGAUUUGGGGUUCUUUUUGCUAUGGAAUAUAGUGAGGUGGCGGCAGCGUUGACAUGGUGUACUAAUCGACCACAAGUAGGUGAGGUUUUGGUUGAUCCAUUAUGGAGUUUCACCGAUGAGUUACUUAUCUUGGUUUUCUUCAAUAUUUUAAGCCUUUACUUCCAGUUAGCCUUAUUGGAUUCUAACUGUAUCUUUCAUUUUUUCCAGGUACGAGUACGAUUGAGGUAUCAUUCGUUCUCUGUCCCGAGGUGUUUUAGUACAUAUAAACUGAUUGAGUUGAUGUUUUAAUUUUUCUUCUUCCGCAUAAAAUUGAUUGCGAGAAGCUAUAGACGUUCUGUUUUGUUUUCUAGCAUUCGGGAAGAUAGUUUUUUUUUUUUCCCUUAAGAGGAUACUCGAUUAGUAAAUGGUAUAAACAAGAGUAUUGUCCUAGGAAUAAUGAAAUUGAAAUUGCAUUACCUUUUAGCAUUUUGCCGAAAGAGAGAGGAAAGAGAAUACGGUUAAUUGUCCAAUGCUUUGUUUUAUGGGUUUUCAUUGGCCAAAUUGCUUUUCGCAAAUAAACCUGAAUAUUAUUGGAUGAUAACUUUAUAUAUAUCUAUCUAUACUACUUUUUGCUCUCAAAAAAUGCCCCAACCAAUUUCUAUGAAUCCCAAACCCAUCCCACGCCCCUUCCCCACCCUUCCAUAACUGGCAGACCUGUUUCCUCCCCUUGGCAGCUGAAUCUUUUUACAAUCCUAAGUGUACCUUUUAGAAAUCUAACAAUGGAAUGCAUCUGUUGGUGAGGAAACAUUUUUACUCAAUUGUAAGAACCCUUGGCAUACUAUCAAAUGACUCGACUGCAAGUAAGCUUCUCUGAUUAUAGAGAAGUGCCUCAAACCCACCACUUGAUCCUGAUGAAAUCUAUUCUCCAUCUCCAGUAUCUUUGUGGCAUUCUAGAAUGGGAGAGUAAUUUACCGACUGUUAGGAUCGGGCCGUCGACUCUUCGGAGAUUUCGACGGUUCAUUUCCCCUGUCGAUUCAAUUGCAUAGGGAAUAGUCAUUUUGAUGUGGUCUGGUCAAUUUUCAUCGAUCUUCACUAAGUUCCCAAGGCAAUGACUUUGUCCUUUACAGCGAUGGCUACUGUGUUUCGAGAUCUGUGUCCAUUGCUGCUUCUGUUUCUCAGGUGGUAUGCAGUGAGGAUCAUGGGUGGCCAUUGAGCGGUGUAGCGGUGGCUAUCCGACCUCCCUUUUCAGUCAUGUGUAACUAGAUGUCUUCUCAUUGAAGCUUCGGGUACAGAAGCCGCAUAGGAGCUUAACGGGAAUAGUUCUCUGUGGUUUCAACUUAACCAUCGACUCGGUGUUCCAUUUCCUCGAUUGAUUGAGGCAGUACUGGUCCAGCGGCUCCAGUCGUCUAUGGGUUUAAUUAAGGAGAUGUGGAGUUCAAUUAUGGGUUUCUUGCAAGAGAAGAAUAAUUAAGCCACAAAAGUCGACACUUGAUUGUCGUCAAUGUUGACACACUAGGACACAUAUAGGGACCCGAUAGAGCGAUCAUUUUUACAAAUUUUAAAAGCUUUUCCAUGAUAAGUUAUUUAAAAACUUAAAAAGUAUUGAUGCCAAAAUUGUAUUAUAAAACAUAUGUGUAUGCGUAUCGGCAAACACCAUCGGUCGAUAAUCCGUUCAAUAAGAGUCUCGACUUAAA